This 281-nucleotide long non-coding RNA is filed under the name Fukomys damarensis (Damara mole-rat). RNAcentral describes it as "lncRNA (ENSFDAG00000031395.1)". The record is from RNAcentral. Lineage: Eukaryota; Metazoa; Chordata; Mammalia; Rodentia; Bathyergidae.
CACAUCUUGUUUCUGAUCAGACUCCACAAAGACACUCAGACAUUUAAUAGUAAUCACCAUCAUGAAAAAUAGAUCAUCCUCCUUGUCUUAAAGCCUCACAUCUACAAGAGAGUAGAGCUAGAAGAGAAGCAGACCAGUCAAAGGGAAAGAAAAUACCUCAGAGAUAAGAGCUUCAGUGGCAGAAUUCAGAAGCCGUAAAAGUAGCAAAAGGAAUGACCGUUGGAUGUGAAGUCUUCCUAAUGCACGCAUGUAACUGCUCGAUCACAGCUGCAAGAAGAGCG